This 440-nucleotide ribosomal RNA is filed under the name uncultured bacterium. RNAcentral's name for it is "partial 16S ribosomal RNA". It matches the Rfam family "Bacterial small subunit ribosomal RNA", at positions 338 to 795 of the family's 1533-position model. The record is from RNAcentral.
CCUACGGGAGGCAGCAGUGGGGGAUAUUGCACAAUGGGGGAAACCCUGAUGCAGCGACGCCGCGUGUGGGAAGACGGUCCUCUGGAUUGUAAACCACUGUCCCCAGGGACGAAGAUGACGGUACCUGGUGAGGCAGCUCCGGCUAACUACGUGCCAGCAGCCGCGGUACUACGUAGGGAGCGAGCGUUGUCCGGACUUACUGGGUGUAAAGGGAGCGUAGGCGGGACUGCAAGUUGGGUGUCAAAUCUACCGGCUCAACCGGUAGCCGCACUCAAAACUGCAGUUCUUGUGUGAAGUAGAGGCAGGCGGAAUUCCUAGUGUAGCGGUGAAAUGCGUAGAUAUUAGGAGGAACACCAGUGGCGAAGGCGGCCUGCUGGGCUUUGACUGACGCUGAGGCUCGAAAGUGUGGGGAGCAAACAGGAUUAGAUACCCGAGUAGUC